UUAAGCGACUAAGCGUACACGGUGGAUGCCCUGGCAGUCAGAGGCGAUGAAGGACGUGCUAAUCUGCGAUAAGCGUCGGUGAGGUGAUAUGAACCGUUAUAACCGGCGAUUUCCGAAUGGGGAAACCCAGUGUGUUUCGACACACUAUCAUUAACUGAAUCCAUAGGUUAAUGAGGCGAACCGGGGGAACUGAAACAUCUAAGUACCCCGAGGAAAAGAAAUCAACCGAGAUUCCCCCAGUAGCGGCGAGCGAACGGGGAGGAGCCCAGAGCCUGAAUCAGUGUGUGUGUUAGUGGAAGCGUCUGGAAAGGCGCGCGAUACAGGGUGACAGCCCCGUACACAAAAAUGCACAUAUUGUGAGCUCGAUGAGUAGGGCGGGACACGUGGUAUCCUGUCUGAAUAUGGGGGGACCAUCCUCCAAGGCUAAAUACUCCUGACUGACCGAUAGUGAACCAGUACCGUGAGGGAAAGGCGAAAAGAACCCCGGCGAGGGGAGUGAAAAAGAACCUGAAACCGUGUACGUACAAGCAGUGGGAGCCUCUUAAUGGGGUGACUGCGUACCUUUUGUAUAAUGGGUCAGCGACUUAUAUUCUGUAGCAAGGUUAACCGAAUAGGGGAGCCGAAGGGAAACCGAGUCUUAACUGGGCGUUAAGUUGCAGGGUAUAGACCCGAAACCCGGUGAUCUAGCCAUGGGCAGGUUGAAGGUUGGGUAACACUAACUGGAGGACCGAACCGACUAAUGUUGAAAAAUUAGCGGAUGACUUGUGGCUGGGGGUGAAAGGCCAAUCAAACCGGGAGAUAGCUGGUUCUCCCCGAAAGCUAUUUAGGUAGCGCCUCGUGAAUUCAUCUCCGGGGGUAGAGCACUGUUUCGGCAAGGGGGUCAUCCCGACUUACCAACCCGAUGCAAACUGCGAAUACCGGAGAAUGUUAUCACGGGAGACACACGGCGGGUGCUAACGUCCGUCGUGAAGAGGGAAACAACCCAGACCGCCAGCUAAGGUCCCAAAGUCAUGGUUAAGUGGGAAACGAUGUGGGAAGGCCCAGACAGCCAGGAUGUUGGCUUAGAAGCAGCCAUCAUUUAAAGAAAGCGUAAUAGCUCACUGGUCGAGUCGGCCUGCGCGGAAGAUGUAACGGGGCUAAACCAUGCACCGAAGCUGCGGCAGCGACACUAUGUGUUGUUGGGUAGGGGAGCGUUCUGUAAGCCUGUGAAGGUGGCCUGUGAGGGUUGCUGGAGGUAUCAGAAGUGCGAAUGCUGACAUAAGUAACGAUAAAGCGGGUGAAAAGCCCGCUCGCCGGAAGACCAAGGGUUCCUGUCCAACGUUAAUCGGGGCAGGGUGAGUCGACCCCUAAGGCGAGGCCGAAAGGCGUAGUCGAUGGGAAACAGGUUAAUAUUCCUGUACUUGGUGUUACUGCGAAGGGGGGACGGAGAAGGCUAUGUUGGCCGGGCGACGGUUGUCCCGGUUUAAGCGUGUAGGCUGGUUUUCCAGGCAAAUCCGGAAAAUCAAGGCUGAGGCGUGAUGACGAGGCACUACGGUGCUGAGCGACAAAUGCCCUGCUUCCAGGAAAAGCCUCUAAGCAUCAGGUAACAUCAAAUCGUACCCCAAACCGACACAGGUGGUCAGGUAGAGAAUACCAAGGCGCUUGAGAGAACUCGGGUGAAGGAACUAGGCAAAAUGGUGCCGUAACUUCGGGAGAAGGCACGCUGAUAUGUAGGUGAAGCGACUUGCUCGUGGAGCUGAAAUCAGUCGAAGAUACCAGCUGGCUGCAACUGUUUAUUAAAAACACAGCACUGUGCAAACACGAAAGUGGACGUAUACGGUGUGACGCCUGCCCGGUGCCGGAAGGUUAAUUGAUGGGGUUAGCGGUAACGCGAAGCUCUUGAUCGAAGCCCCGGUAAACGGCGGCCGUAACUAUAACGGUCCUAAGGUAGCGAAAUUCCUUGUCGGGUAAGUUCCGACCUGCACGAAUGGCGUAAUGAUGGCCAGGCUGUCUCCACCCGAGACUCAGUGAAAUUGAACUCGCUGUGAAGAUGCAGUGUACCCGCGGCAAGACGGAAAGACCCCGUGAACCUUUACUAUAGCUUGACACUGAACAUUGAGCCUUGAUGUGUAGGAUAGGUGGGAGGCUUUGAAGUGUGGACGCCAGUCUGCAUGGAGCCGACCUUGAAAUACCACCCUUUAAUGUUUGAUGUUCUAACGUGGGCCCCUUACCGGGGUUGCGGACAGUGUCUGGUGGGUAGUUUGACUGGGGCGGUCUCCUCCUAAAGAGUAACGGAGGAGCACGAAGGUUGGCUAAUCCUGGUCGGACAUCAGGAGGUUAGUGCAAUGGCAUAAGCCAGCUUGACUGCGAGCGUGACGGCGCGAGCAGGUGCGAAAGCAGGUCAUAGUGAUCCGGUGGUUCUGAAUGGAAGGGCCAUCGCUCAACGGAUAAAAGGUACUCCGGGGAUAACAGGCUGAUACCGCCCAAGAGUUCAUAUCGACGGCGGUGUUUGGCACCUCGAUGUCGGCUCAUCACAUCCUGGGGCUGAAGUAGGUCCCAAGGGUAUGGCUGUUCGCCAUUUAAAGUGGUACGCGAGCUGGGUUUAGAACGUCGUGAGACAGUUCGGUCCCUAUCUGCCGUGGGCGCUGGAGAACUGAGGGGGGCUGCUCCUAGUACGAGAGGACCGGAGUGGACGCAUCACUGGUGUUCGGGUUGUCAUGCCAAUGGCACUGCCCGGUAGCUAAAUGCGGAAGAGAUAAGUGCUGAAAGCAUCUAAGCACGAAACUUGCCCCGAGAUGAGUUCUCCCUGACUCCUUGAGAGUCCUGAAGGAACGUUGAAGACGACGACGUUGAUAGGCCGGGUGUGUAAGCGCAGCGAUGCGUUGAGCUAACCGGUACUAAUGAACCGUGAGGCUUAACCUU
Molecule: ribosomal RNA, 2901 nt
Filed under: Escherichia coli
Lineage: Bacteria; Pseudomonadati; Pseudomonadota; Gammaproteobacteria; Enterobacterales; Enterobacteriaceae
Description: bacterial LSU rRNA
Rfam family: Bacterial large subunit ribosomal RNA
Source: RNAcentral